This 376-nucleotide ribosomal RNA is filed under the name uncultured bacterium. Its description in RNAcentral is "bacterial SSU rRNA". It matches the Rfam family "Bacterial small subunit ribosomal RNA", at positions 28 to 413 of the family's 1533-position model. The record is from RNAcentral.
GACGAACGCUGGCGGCGGGCUUAACACAUGCAAGUCGAACGAACGCCUUCGGGCGUUAGUGGCGCACGGGUGAGUAACACGUAGGCAAUCUACCCUCGGCUGGGGAAUAACCAGGGGAAACCCUGGCUAAUACCGCAUAACAUCUGGACGUCGCCUGGCGACCAGAUCAAAGCUUUAUGUGGCCGAGGAUGAGCCUGCGUCGGAUUAGCUAGUUGGUGGGGUAACGCCUACCAAGGCGACGAUCCGUAGCGGGUCUGAGAGGAUGAUCCGCCACACUGGCACUGAGACACGGGCCAGACUCCUACGGGAGGCAGCAGUGAGGAAUAUUGCGCAAUGGACGAAAGUCUGACGCAGCCACGCCGCGUGCAGGAAGACC